This 301-nucleotide ribosomal RNA is filed under the name uncultured bacterium. RNAcentral describes it as "partial 16S ribosomal RNA". It matches the Rfam family "Bacterial small subunit ribosomal RNA", at positions 509 to 807 of the family's 1533-position model. The record is from RNAcentral.
CAGUCGCCGCGGGAAUACGUAGGGUGCGAGCGUUAAUCGGAAUUACUGGGCGUAAAGCGUGCGUAGGCGGUGAGUUAAGUCUGCUGUGAAAUCCCCGGGCUCAACCUGGGAAUGGCAGUGGAUACUGGCUCGCUAGAGUGUGUCAGAGGAUGGUGGAAUUCCCGGUGUAGCGGUGAAAUGCGCAGAGAUCGGGAGGAACAUCAGUGGCGAAGGCGGCCAUCUGGGACAACACUGACGCUGAGGCGCGAAAGCGUGGGGAGCAAACAGGAUUAGAUACCCGCGUAGUCCCUGUCUCUUAUAC